UGUAUUAGCCAUAGAAAUCUUGAUGAAAAUGUUUGAAUGUGCUUUUUAACUCCAAAUGUGCAGAAGGAUUUGUGACACCUACUGCAAGGACCAUAGGAGAGUCUCAGAAAUGAACUGAGUUCCCAGGCUCUGUCUGUGAGCUGAAUCUGAAGCUUGGAUGUGAAACCCUCUGGAUCCGACCUUGCGGCCAAGCCUUGUGGGUGGAACAGCGGCAGAGGCAAACAAAGCACGAGUCUGCAAGAGGCUGUCCCAACCCUGCCUGCGUUGCAUGCGCCAGGACUGUUGGAGGCUGUGCUGUGCCCCUCUCGGCCAAGCCCCCUCUUUCAUGUCAGCCAGCUGUUGCUCCUGCCACCCCUGUGCUACCCCUUCUAAUGGCUGUUCAGAAGUGGGGGAUGAAAGGGAGAGCUUCACAGGAGAAGAUGCCAAAACCAGAGCAUUCUUACAGGAAUUAGAACUGAAAUCUCCUACGGUUGAACAAGAAUAAUAAUAAUAAAAAGAGGAUUGGCCGUGUUCUCCUUUAUCCAGCAAAGUAAUCUCAGCUGCUUACAUGAGAUCUGAGAGGUGUCUUCACCAGACCUGGGUAAGGAUUUCAGCAGGUGGUUUAACAGCCGUGCACCAAGAGUCUUGUCCAUCCACUCACAGGUAAGGAGAAGGUUGUGAACCUCG
Dromaius novaehollandiae (emu) is the source of this 666-nucleotide long non-coding RNA. RefSeq lists it as uncharacterized. The record is from RefSeq and is a predicted model, not a curated record. Lineage: Eukaryota; Metazoa; Chordata; Aves; Casuariiformes; Dromaiidae. The transcript is spliced from 5 exons.